GACGAACGCUGGCGGCGUGCUUAACACAUGCAAGUCGAACGGUAAGGCCCUUCGGGGUACACGAGUGGCGAACGGGUGAGUAACACGUGGGUGAUCUGCCCUGCACUUCGGGAUAAGCCUGGGAAACUGGGUCUAAUACCGGAUAGGACUCCGGACUGCAUGGUCUGGGGUGGAAAGCUUUUGCGGUGUGGGAUGGGCCCGCGGCCUAUCAGCUUGCUGGUGGGGUGAUGGCCUACCAAGGCGACGACGGGUAGCCGGCCUGAGAGGGUGACCGGCCACACUGGGACUGAGAUACGGCCCAGACUCCUACGGGAGGCAGCAGUGGGGAAUAUUGCACAAUGGGCGCAAGCCUGAUGCAGCGACGCCGCGUGAGGGAUGGCGGCCUUCGGGUUGUAAACCUCUUUCAGCAUCGACGAAGCGAAAGUGACGGUAGGUGCAGAAGAAGGACCGGCCAACUACGUGCCAGCCGCCGCGGUAA
RNAcentral lists this ribosomal RNA (478 nucleotides) under uncultured bacterium. RNAcentral describes it as "partial 16S ribosomal RNA". It matches the Rfam family "Bacterial small subunit ribosomal RNA", at positions 28 to 523 of the family's 1533-position model. The record is from RNAcentral.